AGUGAAGGGAACGGUUCGUCUCUUAAUUCUUCUUGAAUUGUCCCCGCUUAGAGGAGCAGGACCCCAGGUUUGCAGCGAAGGGAAUGGUUCAUUCUUUCAAGUAUGAGUGAAGCAGUUGAAUUUCUAUGAAAGUUAGGGUUUCAAGCUUUACCAAUUUUGAAGGUGAUGAAGGGUUCAAAUGUGAUGAAGGUGCAGUGAAAAAGGUGAUGAAUUGCAGUGAAGAAGAAGAUUGUUGUGUAUUGAACUUCCACGAAGAAGAAGGGUUCAGUUUGUUUCUAGAAACUUUCUACGUAUCGUUAAUUUCUUUCUUUUUUGUUUUUGAUUCAUCGUAUUUAUUAUUUUUU
This 344-nucleotide long non-coding RNA is filed under the name Trifolium pratense (red clover). Its description in RNAcentral is "long non-coding RNA (TPRA_LNC007063)". Lineage: Eukaryota; Viridiplantae; Streptophyta; Magnoliopsida; Fabales; Fabaceae. The record is from RNAcentral.